Molecule: ribosomal RNA, 254 nt
Filed under: uncultured bacterium
Lineage: Bacteria
Description: partial 16S ribosomal RNA
Rfam family: Bacterial small subunit ribosomal RNA
Source: RNAcentral
UACAGAGGGGGCGAGCGUUGUUCGGAUUUACUGGGCGUAAAGGGCGCGUAGGCGGCCAGCACAAGUCAGUUGUGAAAUCUCCGAGCUUAACUCGGAAAGGUCAACUGAUACUGUGCGGCUAGAGUGCGGAAGGGGCAACUGGAAUUCUUGGUGUAGCGGUGAAAUGCGUAGAUAUCAAGAGGAACACCUGCGGCGAAGGCGGGUUGCUGGGCCGACACUGACGCUGAUGCGCGAAAGCUAGGGGAGCGAACGGG